CUGCUUCGAUUUUUAUCAAAAUUUUACAGUAUAAUACUAUUAUGAAAAUAUGUUCUUAGUAAAAUUUUGAGCCAUUUUCUAUAAAUACUUUCAAAGUUGUAGCAGUUUGAAUAUGAAAAAAAAUGACCGGGUGCCACUUAAGCAAAUAUAACUUUGUAACGGCUGGAUCAAAUUGAAUGAAAUUUUUACACAACAUUUUGAUAUGUAUACAGAAAAAUUGUCAUUGAAAUUGGUUCAGUAUUUCUGGCUCUAUAAAUAAAAGAGUAAAAAUGUGUUCUUAUUUUUUAAUCCUCUUUGUACAAAAUUUUAAAAUUGCAGUUUUCAGGAUUCACAAUAUCUCUCCGCAAAUACUAAACUGAUUUUGAUGAAAAUUUUAUAGUAUAAGCUACAUAUAAUGUACCAUUACUGGUUCAAAUAUCAGCUGUUUUGGUGUACGCAGUCUCAAGUUAAAAAACAAAUUGUGUGACCAAAUUUUGACCGUAUCACCCUUUAACUCAAUUUUGCCCAAAAUGCAGAUGGGACUGACUUGCGAUUCACGGCAGUAUAGAUCAUGUUGGAAAAUUACCUGAGAAAACUUAAAGAUUUAUUAUAAGCAUAAAUUCUGUAACUCCCGCAGAAUUUUGUUGAUGCAUUGGAACUCCUUGCGGUUAUAUGCCAAUGCCCAAGUGCUUCGACACCCUAAUUAGAAAUACUCAUGGGCGAUUAAUCGACUUAUAGGUUUGAUCAUAUAUGUAGAAGGAAAUUGGAACUGGAAUGUCCUUAUUUAAUUUGCUUUUAACUUUUUAACAUAAAUUUGUAUUUACCCAUCAUUAUCACUUUUGUUAGAUAAAUAGCGCAUUGUUAUAUUCCAUAGUCCAACAAUGUAACCAACGAAUGAUGACAAAUCAAUGCGAUUUAUCUUUACACUUCCGUUGCUGGCAGGAAUGAGACGAUCUUCUAUGUUAUGGCAUGGCAUUAGGUUUCCAUCAUCAAGUAUCCGAGUAGUUAUUUCAAUCGUUAUAUAUGGGUCCAAUUGGAGAACGAGGAAGUAAUACUUCCUAUAGACAACUGGCAAGGAUACCAGCCAGCCAGCGCUUUGUCCCGACGACAGUAACCUAAUGCGACAUCAUCAUCGUGACGCCUAGUCACCUUGAAGGCGCUGCUGCUACCUACUAGUAAACAUCUUCUAGACAGUCAUUUAAUCAAUUUAGAUUGAUUAAAAUUGCAUUAGGUAUAGGUACAUGCGUCGCCACGAAUGUCGAUGCUGCGCUGCUGAUCGAUCUAAUCGGUAUCAGUUUUCCAAUUCAUGCUCGGUGAUAGGAAACGUCACGCGGCCCGUGCGUCAGGAAUGUGAAAUCUUUCCGUGGUAGGAAGAUAAUGAAUUGAGCUUAUAUGGAGCCGAGUACUUUACAGGGGCAUAACGAUCAUGAUGAUGAUGAUGAUAAUGAUAUGACAAUGAUGGUGGCAGCCUAAUUAUCACAAGCUUGCGUGAAGGCCAUGUCGUUGAACAAAUUGGUCGAAUGGGGAUUUCCCGUUCUAGUCAACAAGGACUGAAAAAUGGAAUUUGGAUAGUUUUGUAGGGUGCAUAGUAAUUUUCUCAGAGCAGGUUCCACUAAGUAACAACUUGUUGAAACAUAUUAACUAUUCCGUGUAUUCCAAACCAUUCUGGUAUUGCCUUUUCCUGACAGAGGGUUAUCUUUCUGACUACAAUGAAGUUUAAUUACCAUAGCUUAAAAAAGUUACAUUUUAACGAGAUAAGACAGCACAAGAAUGGAAUACCGGUGUGGUAUGAAGUGAAGGAUCCGGUACUACAGAACAAAUAGGAAACUCAAUUAAAAGAUACCAAGCCACAUUUUUUCCACUCAUAGCGCUAGUUGCGAGAUAAUACGUCAUUGUAAUCGUUGUGAAGUGGAAACAUGAAGAGAUGAUUUACGCAAAUUAUGAGUCGGAUAUUGUUUGUAAGAAUUAUUGAUUGAUGCAUUGAUUAGGGACGAAGUAACUAUAUAUAUAGUAGUGAAACCACAAAAUCACAACGAAACCCUCGUAUUCUAGGUUAACAUGAGUUCAGUAAAAUGACCCAAUUUUCAAUAUGUACUGAUAAGAAGAUGUUAAAAUCUAACAGAAUAUGGUCAAAUCAUAUUGCAAAAACGUAAUAUGCGAUCGAUGCAAUCAUGCUCAUGAGGGAUAGGUAAACAAAUUGAUAAAAUUGAUUAACCCCAUCAGCACUUGUCGUAAGACUUGCAAUGUUGUGACAACAUUUUAAUUAACAUUAAUUUAGAAUACUGGCAAUACUGUUUCCAGAGCAGUGGUCCCCAACUUGAAGCUCACGUGUCAAUCGUAGUCUUCAAUUGUGUCUACAGGGCAAAUGAAAUAUUUUCAAUUUGAAGUUUUAUCAAUAGUUUCAUAUUAAUGAUUCAUUAAUCAGAGCUAAAAUUGUAGUUUACGCAACAAGAUGCAGAAUGGAGAUUUUUACAGCACGAGUCGUACAUUUAUCCAAAGAGGCUUGUUGAGUUGGAUAAUUACGACAAGUGCUGUAAAAAUCGAGUUCUGCACCGAGUUGCGUACAAUGUUUUUUGCAAUGUUAUAAAUUACCGUUUGAGAAUAGUUUUUAACAAAACUUUUUUAUCAAACUGCACACUGAUGUUCAUAGCCAAGAAAGUUUGAUCAUAGCAGGUUAUACUGUGUUGUUUUUUUUUCACAAUUUUUCAAAACUGCGUCCAGAAAGCAUGAAGAAGUUGAUCGAAAAUAAAAUCAGUGCUGUAAUGGUUCAUUACGCAACGCAAAUCAGUGCUGUAAUGAAGCAUUACAGCACUUCUAAUUUGGUGUGGGAAAGUAGGCCUCCUGUCAAAUUUGCGUGAGGUAAAACAGCCUCUUACGAUGAGAAAUUGCAAAAAAAAAAAAUUAGAAAACCGCUUACAUUACCGUGGAACGAGGUAACUUUGAUUAUGCGGAUAACACGAAUAAAGCUGGAUGAAUUUUAUGUUUUAUACUAGAAAUUCCCGGCCAUUGCCUACUGCGAUACUUGACGUUCUACGUCCAAGUCACCGUUAAAAAUGUAUGAAAAGACUAUUUUGAUACAUUUUGAUCACCAUUCUGAUGAUGACCCCAAACUUUCGGCCGUUGACAUCAAUAGUUCAUCUACUAAAUAAUAUAUUUUCUAGAUUUUUUGGUGCGCUCGGUAAAAGGCAGUUGACUGCUAAUAAAAAUAGAGUUCUACACUGCUGCCAUUUUUAAAUAUGGCUAACUCAAUUUCCAGCGACUCUGCGUUGAGGUUUAAUUUAUAUUCUGAAAGGUUUUUUAAGUACAGGUUCUUUGAUUUUUCGAGUGUGUAUGAGAUUGGUACUUUACAAUGAUAGGGAAUCGCGCCACUUGGGCGGUGGCUUCUAUAUUCGUCUGUUUUCCACUAUAACUCAGUCAAAUUUGAACCAAUUGACAUAACUUUUGGAAUGUGUUGAGAUAGGUAUAGUAUCUACCCGUGUACAACAUUUCAAGUUAAUUGGUUCAAAAUUGACUGAGUUAUAGUGGAAAACAGACAAAUAUAGAAGCCAUCGCCCGAGUGGCGCGAUACCCUAUGUUUGAUCAACCCGAAACAAACAGGUCUACAAAUAGUUGUCUUAUCUAAUUCAAUCUAAACACAUACGCAGCCAGUACGAGAAAACAUCCUGGAAAAUUUUUGGGGUGGAUUACACCCUUUUCACAGAACAGAUGUGUAUCUUCGAACAAAUGUGAAGUUUCGAGGUGGAAGUCGUGAAAUUGUCACUUGGAAAACUAGAUUGGAAUGAAUUUCCAUGGGAAAAUAAAAAAUCAUCAAAGCGUGCUGCGCCGCCUCCCUAUGCUCGCUGCAGGCUAAAGCUUGACUUCCACCACCAGGUUCGCUAGUGUUGAGCUAUCUAACGGGCAGUGCUUUUCGUGGCGAAGAUUCACCCCCGUGCCCUUUUCCUUGUCAGUCUUGAUGCUUGCAGCAUAUCAAUUAUGAUACAAGCAUCAAGGCCAAGCCUACUGCGUCGUGUUUACCACGGUGUACAACAUCUAGAAGGUAAUACAUUACAUUUGUACAUUUUGCACGGCGACGUCAUGAAUGAACGUUAGGUUCAUUUUCGUUAGUCCUGUCCUCUUCCCUCUUACACGAAUUUUAAGACUUUCCGGUGAUUUGUUUUGAUUCCCAUUCGUUGCCGUUUUCUUCUUUCGGGGAGAAAAUUGACGAUAAAUAUCUAUGCCAAACUCAAUUCCAGAAAUCUAUGUUUUGAUGACGUUUUUCAAAUCUUUCAUUGAGUUUUGCAUAGAAAUUUAACCUCAACUUUCUCCCCGAGAGAGAAGAAAACGACAACGAAUGGGAAUCAAAACAAACCACCGGAAAGUGUCAAAAUUCGUGUAAGAGGGAAGAGGGCAGGAAGAACAAAAAUUAACCUAACGUUCAUUCAUGACGUCACCGUGUGAAAUCCAGUAAAAACUUCUAUCACUAUGCGAAAAACAGAACCACAACCAUUCGCACCCAAAUCUUGCCAAAUAUAAACACAGAAAUAAACGUCUAACAUAGAAAAGAUUCAAAUAUUGAAUAACACAAUCGGAUUAAACUCACCGGUUCCUAAAGUUAAGUUUCUACGCAAUUCAAUAAAAGUUAGAAACCCCCUUUUAUGCAUUAAAUUCAGAUUAAUGGUUAUUGUUUAGUUGCACCCUUGCUGAUGCCAACUGGCUUCAGCACAUGUUUUCGGAAAAUUCUUGACAAUACGAUUGCAAACUUGCCACAUGCUUCAAAUAAUCCGCUACAACAGGAAAUUCAAAAGUGUCUUGAACUUGAAUUCCACCACAAUUUUUAAUUGGUUUUACAAAACCAAUAGAAAACAAUGACAGAGCAGCCCAAUUCCACGUCUUCACUUCUUCACGGCACACUUCGAUGUAUCAACAGGUCUACAAAGAGUUAUUGUUAACAAUCAAUCCCACUUCAGGUAAAAUGCCCACAAAAUAGAAGACACUAUUGUUGUGAAACCUCGACUCUCUGGGCGAGAGAAGAAUACUUUCAUUUCAUCUUCUAUAAUUGAUUGUUAGUUUGUUCCAUUCUUACUAGUUCUGUUCGAAUUAUCGAGGCUCGUUACAAAUAUUAUAUUUUAUUCGUCAUGUGUAGUUAUCGCACGAGAGCUUUCAAUCACGCUGAAACAUAAAAUGUGCUUUGGUACAGUUAACGGUUACAGACCAACCGUAUAGCUGGUAAUGAUUUUAUGUCUUCGUUCCUAGGUAGUUAGCAAUUAUUUGCUUUCGUAAUGGUGACAGCGCGGAUAGUACAUCGUUAUAGACGGAAUUCAACAGCUUUUUUCUUCCUAUACGUUGGGCUCAACACUGCUUAUCGAUGGACACUUAUCAUCAUCGCAUAUGCUUAUGACAGCAAGUUGCCAACGCAUUUCGCUGCAGCUGUUACGAUUCUCCGAGAAAUUGCACAAUUGUGUAAUUUAUCAUGUUAUGACAGCGCCCGGCUAAAUAGAGCAAUUUUCUCUUGCUCAUAGCAUAAACAGCUAUCCGUCAUCAUCGUAACAGCUAAAAAGAUAUCAAAACAACAACGGUCGCGAAUCUGGUUUGUUCAAGUAUAGAGGCACUAAAAUUGAUAGUGACUCAGCUCUGUUUCAUUUUCGCAUUUUAAUCAACAUGUUGCUGUUAUCAACUUUGGGAUGUGAAUUGUGGUAUGUCAGAGGACAUUAAAAGAGUUCAUCAUUUUGCAGUAUUGAUGUUCAAAUGAUUCAUAAUAAUUUCACCAUGUGAUAGUCAUUUAGAUGCUCACCAUAUGACAUAUGGCAUGCACGUACCAAAUGAAUGACCCUGUACUUUGAAGUGAUGAUGCGGUGACUGACCAUAAAUUGCGAAAGUUUCAAAACACAAUCAAACCAAAACAUCUCUUCUAGAAAUCACGUUUCAGCGAUAGAUUGCUAAUUGAAGUACGGUGUGAAUAGCAUGUGGUUGAGAGACAAACAGGCGCAAGUGCGCUGGAAGAUUGAGAAUCUUCAGUUGACAUAAACAACUGAGGUGGCUUAUCUAUAGGUAGUUUUGUACAAUAACUGCUGUUUGGAGGCAAAUUCCAUUGCAAUUAACAAAUUCCAUUAUAUGUCAUAUAUACCAUACUGUAAUUCGAGGUAACAUGGGAAAAUUUCUUUUGGAUUUUCAUUAACGAAUUGCCUAUAUAUAACUAAGACGCCUCUUAGUUAAUAUUUGGCUUGAGAAUUGGUCAAAAGAUUUAGAUACAUAGUCAGCUCGCCAAAACUCGAUAUUUGAUGAAUCAGUUAUGAAGACGAGCGAUAUGCAAAAGUGCGUGAUUAUUUGGAUGCCGAUCGCUGAAAGAAGUGCAAUGAACACAAAUUCAUUAAUAAACUUUAGCAUAAUAAUGGGUAAUUUUUAUUCGAUGUUCGCAACAUCUAUGUUUUUGUUCCGAUUAAUCGAUUUUUUGAAUCGAUGUUGAAGCCCCACGAAAUCGACCGAAUCGAUUUUUUACAUUCGAUUUUUCUUUCGGUUCAAAAAUAUCAAAUUUUUGUUUUUUAGAAUGCACUAUAGAAUGUUAUCUUUAAAAAAUACAUAAAAUCGAGAUAAAAUGUACAUAAAAUCGAGGGUCUAUAUAAUCUAAGGUCCACUUAAUUGAGCAAUACCCAUAUAUUUCAGGUUUAUUGGGCAAUCCCUCCCCUAAAAGUCUAGGUGAAUCUUUAUAAAAAUUCUGGAGAAAUCCUUCUUAUGGUCGAGAACGCCUUUUUCAGAAUUCUUGCGCAUCCUUCUCAGGUUUCUAGGUCAGUUCAUCUCUGGAUUCCGAUUUUUUUUUUUUUUUUUUUUUUGAGAAUCCCUCUCAGGAUUCUAGAUAAAUUUCCCUUGAAAAUGUGGAUCCCCUCUUAGGAUCCCUGUCACGGUUCUUGAGCAAUCUCUUUCAGGAUUCUAAUGGGAUGUCAUUCAAAACUGCAGGAGAAUUUCUCCAGGGUUCUAGGAGAAUCUCUCUCAGGAUUCUGGAAGAAUCCUCCAGAGAGUUCUACCUAAUCAGAAUUCUAGGGAAUCUCUGGAUUCUAAGGGAAUUCAUUUCAGGAUUUUGGGAUAUUCACUACCCAGGUUCCCUACCAAGGGUGAAAUCCCUUUCAGGAUUCUAAGAAAUUUCUGGAUGAUCAGGGUUGAUUCCUCCAAGGAUUCUGGAAGACCCUCACUUAGAAUCCCACUCAGAAUUCUGAGGAAAUUUUUCUCAGCAUUCUUAGAAACAUGUAGUAGAUUUCUCGUAGAUUCAUACUGAGAAUUCUAAGAGUUGUGACGAAAUUCCUUUCAGAAUUCUGGGGAAUUAUUUCUUAGGAUUCUGGGAGAAUCUCACUCAGGAUUCUAGUAGUAUCCUUCUCAGGAAUCUACGUAAGAUCCUUUUGAGAUGCAGGGGAAAAAUAUCAUUAAGUAUUUCGCGGGUACUCUUCCCAAGAAUCUCUGAACAUUCGGUUUCCUGGGGUAAUCCCCGUCAGGAUUCUGGGGAAAUUUCUCUCAAGAUUCUGAGGAAUUCGUAUCAUGCUUCUGGAGAAAUCCUUUGGAUUCUGGGGCUAUAUUUUUCAAGAUUCUAAGGAACUUGCUUACAAAGUUGUUAAUUAUUGAAGAAUCUUUCACGAGAUCCUGAUUUCUAGAAAUAUUUCUCUCAAAAAUCUGGAAGAACCCCUGUUAUGAUCCAUCUCAGGAUUCUGGGGAAUACCUUUCGGGAUUCUGGCAGAAUAACUCUCAGCACUCUAAAGGGUUUCACCCAGGAUUUUAGGGGAAUUCUGGGAACAAGUAUUCUUUAAGUAAAGAUAAGGGGGUGAGGAUUCUGGAGGAAUGCUUCUCAGGAUUCUGGAAGAAUCCUAUGUUUUAUAAUUCUGUGAGAGUAUAUCUCAGGUUUUUUUGGUAAUCCCGCCCAGUAUUUUGAGGGAACCUUUCUCUGGAUUCUGGAGCAAUCCUUUUUGGGAUUCUAAGCUACCCUUUUCAGGAUUCUGGGUCAUUUCUUUUAAAUUUCUUCGGCGAUUCAUCUUAAAAUUCCGAAAAUCUUUUUUUGUGAGAAUCUCUCAGUAUUCUAGAUGAAUUUAUCUCAAUAAUGUGGAAGAACUGCUCUUGGGAUUCCUCUCAGGACUCUGGGAGUAUCCCUCUUGGGAUUCUGGAACAUUUUCUUUCUUUUAGGAUUCUGAGAAAAUCUAUAACAGGAUUCUGAGAGAUUCCUCUUGGACUAUGAGACAAUCCGUCUCAUAGAUAUGGAGUAAUCUCUCUCAGGAAAAUCCUUAGUAGAAUUCAGAGAGAAUUUCUCCCAAGAUACCGGCUUUCUUUUCUAGUGAAAGUCUCUUAAAUAAAGACAAAUCAAUCAAAUUUAUUUUCUAGGUAAUGUCACUUAGGAUUCUGGUGAUUUUCAGCAUUCUGGAGACAUCCCUCUCAUAAUUCAAGAGGAACUCCUUUCAGAAUUCUGGAGGAGUCUCUUCAAAGAUUCUGAGGAAAUUUCUCUCAGCAGUCUGCGGGAAUCCAUCCUAGUACUAUAUGAGAACACUUCUCAGAGUUUUGGGGAACCUCAGGAUCUCAGAUUUUUUCUUUCAAUUCAAAAAUAUUAGUUUCAUUUUUUUUCGGAAUACACUGUUUCGAAUCAGAGUCGCAAAAUGUGCGAUGUGCAAUCUCAAAUUUUGAUAUUGAAUUUAUUUAGACAAAUAAAACAUACCACGAACUUACUACAUGCAGCAAACGAAUCAUUUUAUGUUUUGUAAUAUUUUACAAAUAUCGAAUCGAUGUAAAAACAUCGAUUCAAAGCAUUCGAUUAAAUCGGUGAAUGGAUUCUGCUGAUCUGAUUCGAAUCGAUUCACAAAAAUCGAUGUCUCAGCCAGAUUUGCCCAAUGCUGAUGGGAUAUGUUUUGUAAAUGUAAGAAGUCAGUUUUUUUUUUCAAAUGUAGGCUCAGUGUACCAGUUCUGGUUAUAGUACCUCGAGUCUGCCAUGGAAUACAAAUCAAUUAGAAAAAUGUUGUGAACAAAAGAUCAUGUUCACAAAAGAUGAUUAAAUUCAUACAAACUUCACAAUGUGAAGUUUACAUUUUGCUCAUAUUAUGGUAGAAAUAAAUCAUUUUCUUUAAAAUUUUGGGCUUCCAUGUACCCUAUUUCGCCAUGGUGUACCAGUUAUGGCUAAUCCCAUUAAGCAAUGCAGGUAAAUAGUGCGAAGUGGAACCGAAAUUAAAAAAUGCGUCCAUAGCUGGUACAGGGUUUCUAUCAUGAUUGGCUCACGCCGUAAUAAAUACUAAAAGUAGUUUUGGCUCCGUUUCUAUAUUGUUCCUAUAAAGUAUGAAAACAGAGCCGGGACCCGUAGCGUAGUGGCUACACGCUCACUUCAUAAGUGGAUGGUCAUGGGUUCGAUCCCAGCCCCGGCACUUGCAAUUUUUCGUCAGUUGCUCUUCCCUCCCGAGAGCAGCUGACAUCUUCUGAGUAUAUAUGCUCUAACAGACCCGGAAACUUGGAUAUCGGUUAACGGCAACUCAUAAUGACCCCCAAUCGGACUGGAAAUGGAACAAGAGCCGCACAGCAACAUCGAUGCUCAUCAUUCUACUAUGGACAGGGUUAAAAAGUGAUAGCAGCGCAAAGGCUUAUCAGUUCGAAUUAGAAUUAGUGGAAUUAGAGUAGAAUACAUUUAGGCGCUGUGCAAAAAGUGUAAGUGCAGCCGCUCACGCAGUGCCCUAGUGGACAAAAGAGUUGUAAAUUAGGUUAAGUGGUUGAAGAAUAAAAAAAAGUAUGAAAACAAAUCAAUCAUUUGACAGGUCUUCUUAGUUUGUAGGAAUAGUUUUCCUUAGGUAGAUAGAUAACUGUUACAGGCACCCUACUACAAUGUUUUUCUGUAUGAUCAUCUGUGUGUUCUCAAAAUAGGAUUGUGGUAUUUCGUGUAUCUUUUGAUUUUUUUCGGAAUUCAGGUUAAAAAAGUCUACAUACAUGGGAUACACAACAAUGAUCGGGACAGGCAAAAUUAUCACUUUUCAAAAAAUGGUGAACUAGCUGUAACUUUUUAAAAAGUGCGUCAAAAAUUCUCAACUUUUCACUGUUAGUUGGUCAACUAGUUGUCUAUUAAUGGUCCGAAUUUGAGAAAGAUCGAGCUAUUCUACAUAAAAUAGGAAAGAUUCUAUUAAAAGGAAUAAUUAUCCGAUAGCCAAUAUCUCCGGAUUCAAUGAACCGAAAGCAAUGAAAUUUUGAUCAUUCAUGACUUAUAUAAUAAGCUUUGAGAAAUGUUUGACUUAAGGCGAAACUGGAAGUUUUUUCUCAUUUUUUUGGUUUUUGAUUUUUUAUAAAAUAAUGAAGCAAUAUUUUCAAAAUCGGGUUUCGUACACAUGUAGAGUAUGGAUCAAGGUAUCUCCUGAAAUUUUUUGAGGUUGGAAAUGUUU
Aedes albopictus (Asian tiger mosquito) is the source of this 10337-nucleotide long non-coding RNA. RefSeq lists it as uncharacterized. NCBI's taxonomy places the organism in Eukaryota, Metazoa, Arthropoda, Insecta, Diptera, Culicidae. The record is from RefSeq and is a predicted model, not a curated record. The transcript is spliced from 3 exons.